GAUGCCCAAGGCUCUGUCUCCACUCUGGGGAAGUUGCUGAGAUGAGCCUCCCAAAGUGAAAAGUGACAGGUGUCAUAGACAAGGCAGUUGAGCAAGGAUUUGCAUGGAGCCAUUUGCAUUUUCUCACCAAGUCCCCUUUGCUAUCGAUUGAUUCAUUUCAACAUACAUUUGUAGCUGGCUGUUAAAUGCUCUCCCUCCAGAGGAUGUGGUCAGGCCGGAAGGGAAUUGCUGGUGGUCCUGACUACCCCCACCCCUCCCAACUCUUAGAAAAUGACAAGGCCGCCUCGGGCAGGACCCUCAAAAUCCCCCAGAAUUCCUGAGGCCUUUGGAUGCAAAGAAUGAGGGAUGCUUGCACGUCAAACAACACAGCCCCCUCUCCGAGAAGCUGGAGGAGUUCCAGGAGUCUUCCCGCCUUAGCCGGGGGAUGGGGGAGCUCAACUCUGUGGCACUCUGUUCAAGUUUGUUGCUUUGGGUGACAGAUCUUGAACUCGGUUUUGAAAAUUGUUUGGUUAAAACAUUGCAAGCUGGGAACCCUGCCAGGUCCUCUUCUCUCUCGAGUGGAAUUAGAAUAAGGCAGCCUGCCCCGACCCGUUCCAAGGGUACUGAUCCUCAAGUUUUAUAAAGCAGCGUCGCUCAAGCCCAGCCCUAUCCAGAAGUGGACCAUGUGGUGACGUCCCAGGGACCCUGGGAAGAUGCUCCCAUCCCCAAAUCUAUCUGCAUUAGCCUGUCCCACCGUGCCCAAACCCACAGCCUUGUAGGGCUUUCCUUGAGCUUUAUAGUCAGUUCUGAGUGGGA
Molecule: long non-coding RNA, 795 nt
Filed under: Homo sapiens (human)
Lineage: Eukaryota; Metazoa; Chordata; Mammalia; Primates; Hominidae
Description: HSALNT0394177
Source: RNAcentral